AUGGUGUAUGGGCCAUUUUUUCCCGGACUCUCGUACCCGUUCACGGGUCCGUGUACGGGUCCGUGUACGCGGCGUGUGCCACGUACGUGGUUUUGCCUAGUUUUCCAUGGCGCGCGUCCACUUCCGUCCACGACGGCCGUCCGCCAGUUUUUUCCCGUGUCCACGUACACCCCGUUCACGGGUCCGUGUAUGGGUAUGUGUACGCGGCGUGUGCCACGUACGUGGUUUUGCCCAGUUUUCCAUGGCGCGCGUCAACUUCCGUCCACGACGACCGUCGGCCAGUUUUUUCCCGUGUCCACGUACAGCCCGUUCACGGGUCCGUGUAAGGGUCCGUCUACGCGGCGUGUGCCACGUACGUGGUUUUGCCAGUUUUCCAUGGCGCGCGUCAACUUCCGUCCACAACGGCUGUCGGCCAGUUUUUUGCCGUGUCCUCGUACAGCCCGGUCACGGCUCCCUUUAAGUGUUUUUGCCUGGUGA
This 477-nucleotide ribosomal RNA is filed under the name Triticum aestivum (bread wheat). Its description in RNAcentral is "partial small subunit ribosomal RNA". Lineage: Eukaryota; Viridiplantae; Streptophyta; Magnoliopsida; Poales; Poaceae. The record is from RNAcentral.